Molecule: ribosomal RNA, 426 nt
Filed under: uncultured Actinomycetes bacterium
Lineage: Bacteria; Bacillati; Actinomycetota; Actinomycetes
Description: bacterial SSU rRNA
Rfam family: Bacterial small subunit ribosomal RNA
Source: RNAcentral
GCGGCCUAUCAGCUUGUUGGUGAGGUAAUGGCUCACCAAGGCGACGACGGGUAGCCGGCCUGAGAGGGCGACCGGCCACACUGGGACUGAGACACGGCCCAGACUCCUACGGGAGGCAGCAGUGGGGAAUAUUGGGCAAUGGACGAAAGUCUGACCCAGCGACGCCGCGUGAGGGAUGAAGGCCUUCGGGUUGUAAACCUCUUUCAGCAGGGAAGAAGCGAAAGUGACGGUACCUGCAGAAGAAGCACCGGCUAACUAUGUGCCAGCAGCCGCGGUAAUACAUAGGGUGCAAGCGUUGUCCGGAAUUAUUGGGCGUAAAGAGCUCGUAGGUGGUUAGUUACGUCGGAUGUGAAAAUCUAGGGCUCAACCCUAGACCUGCAUCCGAUACGGGCUAGCUUGAGUUUGGUAGGGGAGACUGGAAUUCCU